CCUACGGGAGGCAGCAGUGAGGAAUAUUGGUCAAUGGACGAGACUCUGAACCCGCCAAGUAGCGUUAAGGAUGACUGCCCUAUGGGUUGUAACCUUCUUUUAUAAAGGAAUAAAACGAGGCACGUGUGCCUUUUUGCAUGUACUUUAUGAAUAAGGCUCGGCUAACUCUGUGCCAUCAGCCGCGGUAAUACGGAGGAUCCGAGCGUUAUACGGAUUUAUUGGGUGUAAAGGGAGCGUAGAUGGGUUGUUAAGUCAGUUGUGAAAGUUUGCGGCGCAACCGUAAAAUUGCAAUUGAUACUGGCAGUCUUGAGUAUAGGUGAGGUAGGCGGAAUUCGUGGUGGAGCGGUGAAAUGCUUAGAUAUCACGAAGAACGACGAUUGCGAAGGCAGCUUACUAAACUGUGACUGACAUUGAUGCUCGAAAGUGUGGGUAUCAAACAGGAUUAGAUACCCCUGUAGUC
Molecule: ribosomal RNA, 460 nt
Filed under: uncultured bacterium
Lineage: Bacteria
Description: partial 16S ribosomal RNA
Rfam family: Bacterial small subunit ribosomal RNA
Source: RNAcentral